This is a long non-coding RNA of Rhagoletis zephyria (snowberry fruit fly), 1872 nucleotides long. RefSeq lists it as uncharacterized. The record is from RefSeq and is a predicted model, not a curated record. NCBI's taxonomy places the organism in Eukaryota, Metazoa, Arthropoda, Insecta, Diptera, Tephritidae.
AUCCAAUUAUCGGAUCUAAAGAAAAUUAAUAUGGGACCACCCUUGAGAUAGGUGGUAUCCGAUAAAAAAGAGUUAUCGAAAUCGGUUAACGUGGUGCAAAGUUAUGCGGUAACGUACAUAAAAAAAAAGAAAUAUUUCGACGAUCCUCCUCCUUUUUGUGAAGUCGGUUAAAAAUAACACAGGACUUGUGUGGUUUUCCUCUUAAAAAACUAAUUAGCUAUUUAGGUACGUAUAGGUACUACGCUAUUAAAAAGAUAAUAAAAAAUUGCAUCACGAAAAUUUUUCAAGAAAAUAACUUUUAUAAUUUUUCUUAGCUACCGCGCAUUACUAGCGUUAACUUCGAAAUUACAUAAGUCCUUCUGAUUAACUUAGUCUCAUUAUGAGUAUUAUUACUAAUACUAUUGGUUUGUAAGUACAAAUUUUAUUCUAAAUUAAUUAAUUUUUGGCUUUUCAUGCAAAUUCCUAAAAUUCUAACAUCUAAGUACAUGUUAUCAAUAAAAAUAAAUCUCGGAGGGCUGGAAGAGAACCAAAGAUGUACUUUAAUUUAACAUCAUACCUAGAUAUUUAAAAAAAUAACAUAAUUAUUAGAAAGGGGAAAAAUUAGAUUUCGCAGACCUGUGUAACCCAAUAGAAAAUAGGUAAAUUUUCUACCAUACUAAAAAUUCAAACGCCACUAAGUUUGCGCGCAAAAGAAAAUCUGUAGUGCGAUUCACUACGCUAUUUUAACAACUCUUUUUAUUGUUAAAGCAAUUAAACGACAAUUUUAUCAAUAUAGCUAUUCAUUAAACGUUUCCUUAACAACAUUCGUUAGCGCAAAAUCAGCUGUUGUCGGCAACGAUAACAACGGCCGCUAAUUUGACAACGUCUAGUUUGGUGUUGUUACAAAAAACAUAAAUAAUUCGAAAGCGCUAAAAUAAAAAAUUAAGUGAAAAAAUGUCAUUUGAGUACCUCGCUUAUAGUUUGUCGCGUAGUCAGCAGCAGUUUAACGCAUUGAGGGUGGAUCGGCGUAUGUUGCGGAGUGCGGACAAUCCGUUUGAAUUGCCACCAACAGAGUUCCGGAAAUUAUACCGGCUAGGACCCAACUUGGCAGCCGAUCUGGUUCAACGGUUGGAAGUGUAUAUAAAAGGCUCGAGAGUAACUGCCAUAUCCGCCGAAAAGCAGGUUCUGUCUACUUUGCGCUUUUAUGCCACUGGGUGCUAUCAACGCCCUGUAGGAGAGCGGUGGGGCAUUUCGAUGAGCCAGUCAUCCAUAAGCCGUUGUACUCAUCGUGUGACAGAGGCAAUUAACAACCACUUGUUUUUAACGGAAGUCAAGUUUCCUAUGACACAAAUGGAACGCCAAGCUGCCAAAGAAGUAUUUUCCUCAGCAGCUGCGCCUUUUGUGGGGGGAACUAUUGGGGCGAUCGAUUGUACCCAUAUUUCUAUUUUGGCUCCGAAAAAUAAUGAGGAGGCGUACGUCAACCAUCAUGGAUACCACUCAUUAAAUGUAUGAAUGAUAUGCGACCCGAACUUGAAAAUUUUAAACGUGAAUGCGAAACAUCUGGGAGCAUGACAUGACUCCUACAUUUGGAGCUCCUCUGCAGUGCGGAGAGUGAUGCAGCGUUCGUACGAGAAUGGGAACCACAACUUGUUUUUAAUAGGUGAUUCUGGAUACCCCCUAGAGCCGUGGCUUAUGACGCCGUUACCAAACCAACCGGAGGGGUCUCCUAAAUUUCGCUAUAAUGAAGCGCUAUGCAAGGCUAGGAAUCCCAUCGAAAGACUUUUCGGCGUCCUCAAAGGAACUUGGCGAUGUCUUUCGCAACAAAGGGUUCUUUUGUACGAUCCCGGGUUUGCUGCAUAAUAUUCGUUUGGGAGAGCAGCAAACGAACGAACA